UACGUAGGAUCCAAGCGUUGUCCGGAUUUACUGGGUGUAAAGGGUGCGCAGGCGGACUUAUAAGUCAGAGGUGAAGUCUUACUGCUCAACAGUGAAACUGCCUUUGAUACUGUAGGUCUUGAAUUAGGGAGAGAUUCGUGGAAUUCCGAGUGUAGCAGUGAAAUGUGUAGAUAUUCGGAAGAACACCAGUGGCGAAGGCAGCGAAUUGGCCCUAUAUUGACGCUCAGGCACGAAAGCAUGGGGAUCAAACAGG
RNAcentral lists this ribosomal RNA (253 nucleotides) under uncultured bacterium. Its description in RNAcentral is "partial 16S ribosomal RNA". It matches the Rfam family "Bacterial small subunit ribosomal RNA", at positions 524 to 776 of the family's 1533-position model. The record is from RNAcentral.